Molecule: ribosomal RNA, 395 nt
Filed under: uncultured bacterium
Lineage: Bacteria
Description: bacterial SSU rRNA
Rfam family: Bacterial small subunit ribosomal RNA
Source: RNAcentral
UCUCGCCCCGAUGACCGGGACAACCCGAGGAAACUCGGGCUAAUACCGGAUGUGGUGCCCAGACAUAAGUCUGGUCACUAAAGGUAGCUUCGGCUUCCGCAUUGGAGGGGCCCGCGGCCCAUUAGCUUGUUGGUGGGGUCAAGGCCUACCAAGGCAACGAUGGGUAGCUGGUCUGAGAGGACGAUCAGCCACACUGGGACUGAGACACGGCCCAGACUCCUACGGGAGGCAGCAGUGGGGAAUCUUGCGCAAUGCGCGAAAGCGUGACGCAGCAACACCGCGUGAGGGAAGACGGCCUUAGGGUUGUAAGCCUCUUUCAGAUGGGACGAAGGUUGUCCGGUUAAUAGCCGAGAUAAUUGACGGUACCGUCAGAAGAAGCUCCGGCUAACUACGUG